This 45-nucleotide non-coding RNA is filed under the name Schistosoma mattheei. Lineage: Eukaryota; Metazoa; Platyhelminthes; Trematoda; Strigeidida; Schistosomatidae. The record is from RNAcentral.
AUUUAGUUGACAAGUUCCAAAUAGGAUGAAACGCACGUCCUGGAU